AUAUCAAUAAGGCGAGGAACAGAAACCAACCGGGAUUCCCCCAGUAGUGGCGAAUGAAGUGGGAAAAGCUCAAGUUUGAAAUCUGGCUUCAGUCAGAGUUGUAAGCUGAAGAGGCUUCGACCGAUGUGGCUUGGGCUCAAUUCCCUUGGGAUAGGGAGUCAUGGAGGGUGAGAACCCCGUUCAUGGCCUGUGUGCCUCCAUCCUUGUGUCGUUUCCUCGAAGAGUCGGGUUGUUUGGGAUUGCAGCCCUAAAUGGGAGAUAAACUUCUUCUAAGGCUAAAUAUUUAUGGGAGACCGAUAGCGCACAAGUA
Molecule: ribosomal RNA, 310 nt
Filed under: uncultured eukaryote
Lineage: Eukaryota
Description: partial large subunit ribosomal RNA
Rfam family: Eukaryotic large subunit ribosomal RNA
Source: RNAcentral